Molecule: ribosomal RNA, 372 nt
Filed under: uncultured organism
Description: bacterial SSU rRNA
Rfam family: Bacterial small subunit ribosomal RNA
Source: RNAcentral
CGUAGGGGGCAAGCGUUGUCCGGAUUUAUUGGGCGUAAAGCGCUCGCAGGUGGUCCGUCGCGUCGUGCGUGAAAGACCCCGGCUCAACUGGGGAGGGUCGCGCGAUACGGGCGGACUGGAGGCCAGUAGGGGGAUGCGGAAUUCCGGGUGUAGUGGUGGAAUGCGUAGAGAUCCGGAGGAACACCAGCGGCGAAGGCGGCAUCCUGGACUGGUCCUGACACUCAGGAGCGAAAGCGUGGGGAGCGAUCCGGAUUAGAUACCCGGGUAGUCCACGCUGUAAACGAUGAGUACUAGGUGCCGGGGGUAUCGACCCCCUCGGUGCCGCAGCUAACGCGAUAAGUACUCCGCCUGGGGACUACGGCCGCAAGGCUA